UACGUAGGGUGCGAGCGUUAAUCGGAAUUACUGGGCGUAAAGCGUGCGCAGGCGGUUCGUUAAGUUCGAUGUGAAAGCCCCGGGCUCAACCUGGGAAUGGCAUUGAAAACUGGCGGGCUUGAGUCUGGCAGAGGGGGGUGGAAUUCCGCGUGUAGCAGUGAAAUGCGUAGAGAUGCGGAGGAACACCGAUGGCGAAGGCAGCCCCCUGGGCCAAGACUGACGCUCAGGCACGAAGGCGUGGGGAGCGAACGGG
Molecule: ribosomal RNA, 253 nt
Filed under: uncultured bacterium
Lineage: Bacteria
Description: partial 16S ribosomal RNA
Rfam family: Bacterial small subunit ribosomal RNA
Source: RNAcentral